Nothobranchius furzeri (turquoise killifish) is the source of this 4261-nucleotide RNA transcript. It is a transcript of the gene named peroxisomal succinyl-coenzyme A thioesterase, with no coding region annotated. The record is from RefSeq and is a predicted model, not a curated record. NCBI's taxonomy places the organism in Eukaryota, Metazoa, Chordata, Actinopteri, Cyprinodontiformes, Nothobranchiidae.
CGUGCGUGUAGUCUUGACUCUAGCGCGAGUCGCGCGCGCACAUCAGCUGGUAGAACCUCGGAGAAGGGAGCAGGUCUGAUCCAGUGCUGUAGACCACAGACACAUCUAUAUCUAUAUAUUUAUGUCUAUACUGUAGACAGGCUACAGCCGGAAACAGACCGGGGAAGAGGCCCGGUGGACUUUAACGGGAAUCACGCCUUCCGCUGAAGAAAACGGUAAAGUAAGCUGGCCAUGGAGAGGAACCCGUUGUUUGUGAAGCUUUCAGCCCAGCCGUCCAGAGCGCUCGUGGACGAGAGGUUUGUUGUCUUGGUCCAGAACGCCGUCCCCGGUUCUCAGCUGACUGUCCAUGCCCUCCAUCAGUGUGAAGAUGGACACAGCUGGCAGGCGUUUGCUCAUUACAUCGCUGACGCCAUGGGGACAGUGAAUGUUUCAGAGGAUUCCAGUCUGGGUGGGACAUAUACUGGCACCGAAGCCAUGGGUUUACUGUGGAGCCUCAAACCGGUUCCAGGCAGCAAACCUGGGCUCAGGAUGAGGAAGAAGAACGUCCAGACUCCGAUGCUGGUGACUAUCUCAGUGUACCAGGGUCACCAGACAGAUGGCUUCGUGGACCAGGCACCGCUGGCCACUGUGGUGGUGGAGCGCUGGUACAUGGCUCCUGGAGUUCGAAGGAUCCCCGUCACAGAGUACGGCCUAACAGCAACCCUCUUCUUACCUGCAGGACCUGGUCCUUUCCCUGGUCUCCUGGACCUGUGGGGGGGCGGAGGACAAUUGGUGGAGUACCGAGCAGCUCUGUUAGCAUCCCAUGGAAUAGCAUCGUUGGCCCUGGAUUACCUCACCUGUAAAUACUCAAUGGAAACCAAGAAAACGGUUUCCAACCAGUACUUUGAGAUGGCCUACAGAGUCCUGGCUGAACAUCCCCAGAUCCUUGGCAGCAGAAUCGCCAUGUUGGGUCUGUCUUUGGGCACCAGCAUAACAUUCAGAACGGCCGUGUACUCUCAGGUCAUAAAGCUCAGAUGUGCGGUGUGUAUCAGCGGGAGUCACAGGCAGCCACACAAUUCAUCUUUGGAGGAAAUCCUGAGUUUCUUUCACAGCAACGCUGAUAAGAUCCGCUUCAAUGAGGAGAAUGAAGUGAUCUGGCGAGAUCUGCUGCUACCCAUCCCUAGUGACUCUACAAACAAAGUGGAAGUGGGACAAAUCAAAUGUCCUCUGCUGCUGAUUGUUGGUGAGGAUGAUCAGAACUGGUGUGCCUACGAGUCAGCGAUGGAUAUGAAGGAGAUGAUGGAGAAAGCGGGGAACAGCCACCUGCUGACGCUGCUGUCCUACCCAGAAGCAGGUCACCUGAUCGAGCCCCCAUAUACUCCACACGUUCGCUCCAGUCAGUUUCGAGACAUGUCCACGCGUCAGAUAAUGAUGGUUCUGUGGGGGGGGCAGACUCUGGGACAUGCUCGUGCUCAGGAGGACUCCUGGAAGAAGCUGCUGGUCUUUCUGAGGGAACACCUGUACAGCAGCUCAAAGCCAGCUCCGCUGUCCCACCUUUAGCCCCCAGAUGGCUGAAGGAGGGUUUUAGACUAGAGUAUCUAGUCGCGUCUGCUCAGGUCCCAUGUCUCCCAGGAUCGUUCCACGUGUCCUUUCAGAUUUCUGUUGUCCUUCAGCUUCAUCCCCAGUAACGGGAACUCCUCAGCUCCCAUCCCAUCUCUUCCCCUGUUAUUAUUCAUGUAUGCCAGCUCGGAUGUGUGUGUCGGCGGGAGUUCUCAUGUUCCUUUGAUUUCUUUUCCUCCUAUUUGUUUGUUUGUUUGUUUAGGUGACUGGCUCUGUUCUCUUGGUUUUUAUUUUACCCUCCCUACCGCCCUUGCUCUGUUGAUACUUUAGUUAUAUUGAUCUCCCCUCCUUAUCGUUGACUGUAUUUUAUUUAGUUAUUAGUGGGGCGGGUGUCCCUUUGGGACACUAAACUGGGACUGAUGGACACCCUUGACCUGAGGAGGGGGCUCUACUGGUCCAUCUGCUCAUGUAGUUGCUGGUUUGGUUCACCAUUAUAAAUGUGUCAGCUAUAGAAGGAGCCUCCAGCGAAAGGUCUACUCCAUGGUGGGGGCCAGGAGAAACCACAUUUUACAUGGUUGGUUGCUUGUCCAACUGGUCCAAAACCAGUUGGAUUUAUGAGUCUGGAGAAGGCUUGUGACCUAUUUUAUAGGUCAACUUCAUUAGAAAAAAACACAGCCUGUCUGGCUGUGAAGCAAACAGAAUUAAUGUCUGAAUGCUGGUAACAAGCCUUACAGAUUUACUCUCAGGUGGAGCAUCAAAGCUCCUGCUUUAAUGUCACGCCUGAUACUUAAAACUUUAUUGUUACUGUUUUUUGAAUGCUUUAUAAUUCUGACCGGACACGGAGACAGAGGUGAAAUAGAAAGGAAGAGACAAAAGGAAGGGUGUGUGUGUGUGUGUGUGUGUGUGUGUGGGAGGGGGGGGGGGGUCCACAAAAAUAAACAACCAAUGAUAAACAAGAGUCUGCUUCUAGAACUGCAGAAAAGGGACACACAACAAUACAACAGGAGCAAGCUAUCACUGUCAACUUGAUGAGGAAAUAUAAAAUCAACAUUGUUUUACUGAACUAUCACACGAUAAUAAAUCACAGUGCAUUUUGUGCCAACAGCCUUAAGACAUGUAUUGAACGUGCCCAAGUCCAUUCUUAUGAGAGCACCAUGUGAGCACCUGUGUGUGUACACGCACGCGCUUGUAUAUGUAAGGUUUCUCUAUAAAAGCGUCCAAUAGAGAGUGUGAGGGACCACAGAUCUGCCCCCUAAAGAUGUGUAGGAGAUGGAGGGAGCUCCAAGUCCCAGAGAUCCAGGAGCUGCCCCAGAGCGCAGGGACCCCAGGGAGACUGCAACCAGAAAAGCCCCCGCUCCCCUCGAGAGGCGCAGAGGAUUGCCCCGGGGGAUAUCAGCGGCAAGCCCACAGGCCCGCCCGCAGCCUCCCACCCCCUAGCCGGCCGAGCUUGGAACCCAGCGACCCGGGACCCAGGGGCGACCAGCCCCGCGGGGGACCCAACAGUGCCCAGGGACUUAGAUCCCACCAGGCAGCCACCGGGAUCAAUCAGGCAGACGCCAAAAAUCAUAAACCCCAUGACCCGGGAGCCGCGAACACUCAGGCAGACCACGGCACCACACUCCACACCAGGCGUGGCAGGGGGAGGGUAGGCGAAGAUGUGUAGGAGCACAAGAAGUCCCAGGAGAGGGCAGGAGUCCAAGACCUCACCUGACAUAUACAGCCAUACACAAACACAGUCACACACUGCCUCCCUCAUGCUUACACACACACAUACAGCCUGAGAAUUACAAAAAUGAAUGCUAGACACCCACUCAUGCUCCCCAUACACACCCUAUUCACUCUGGUCCCGGUACUGCUGCACAUGGGGUACAACCAUCACCGUUCCCAGAGUUCGCCCCUUUCUGUUGGGGUGCUGAUGAGCAGGCACCUCCGCCCAACGCUGAGCAAAGCAACCCACCACCCCCAUGUUGGGGACAUGACGGCCAGCUUCCCCUCCUAGCCUCCAGCCCCGGGAAGCCAAGUGACAACAGAGGUGUGCUAAGACCCCUAGUUUCCCUCCGCCUGCUCCAAUACAGUGUUGGUGCGUGUUGAUGAGGUGUAUUUGUGGCUGUGGUGAGUGGGCAGUGCGGGCAUUGUCUGGCCCACGCCAGCUGAUGCCACCACACAACCCCACUUCCCCCCACAGCCCUCUGUGUCUAAGUGCAGUUUAAAAUUCGAAGGUGGCACCGGCACUCGUGUUGACUUUUAAAAAAUUUUAUCUCCAAUUCCAACGGGUCACUGAGUGUUUCAUGCAGGCUGAACAUGAAAAUAGUCUCCUACACCUAUCUCCUGCAUUAGCCUCUGACAGAAAACAGAUGGUGAAACUCUAGGAUUAGAAGAUCCUGACAGAUCUACGUCACACUGUCACUAACAGUGUUGGGCAAGUUACUUCAAAACUGUAAUGCAUUAUUUAUUACUUGUUACCCUCAUUUUAAAGUAAUUAAUUACAUUACAAUAUUACUGAUUUCGAAAUGUAAGGCAUUACACCACUUUUGCAUUACUUUAAGUUACUUUCACCAAAACAACUUCAAUAUGAAUCUGGUAAUCUGACGCUCAGUGAGCUCAUGACAUAUAUGUGGAAAGUGAUGUGGUGUCUGAGCUAGGAUUGCUGUUAAAAACAGUCGGAUAUAAUAACAGUGCUUUAAAAUGAUUGUUUAUUAAAUAAAAGCAACAACAAUCUGUA